ACACGUUGAGCCCACCAGGGCUGCACACAAACCAACCAAGCAACGGGGGUUGGGU
Molecule: non-coding RNA, 55 nt
Submitted as: unclassified sequences
Source: Rfam